RNAcentral lists this ribosomal RNA (493 nucleotides) under uncultured bacterium. RNAcentral's name for it is "bacterial SSU rRNA". It matches the Rfam family "Bacterial small subunit ribosomal RNA", at positions 44 to 537 of the family's 1533-position model. The record is from RNAcentral.
GGGCUACCAUGCAGUCGACGGUCACAGGAAGAAGCUUGCUUCUUCGCUGACGAGUGGCGGACGGGUGAGUAAUGUCUGGGAAACUGCCUGAUGGAGGGGGAUAACUACUGGAAACGGUAGCUAAUACCGCAUAACGUCGCAAGACCAAAGAGGGGGACCUUCGGGCCUCUUGCCAUCGGAUGUGCCCAGAUGGGAUUAGCUAGUAGGUGGGGUAACGGCUCACCUAGGCGACGAUCCCUAGCUGGUCUGAGAGGAUGACCAGCCACACUGGAACUGAGACACGGUCCAGACUCCUACGGGAGGCAGCAGUGGGGAAUAUUGCACAAUGGGCGCAAGCCUGAUGCACCCAUGCCGCGUGUAUGAAGAAGGCCUUCGGGUUGUAAAGUACUUUCAGCGGGGAGGAAGGGAGUAAAGUUAAUACCUUUGCUCAUUGACGUUACCCGCAAAAGAAGCACCGGCUAACUCCGUGCCAGCGCCCCGGGGGGAAAAAAAA